UUAGUCCAUGAUUUGACAAUGUGUUGCUACAGUAAAUAUUUGCUAAUGAUGGAUUAAUUAGGCUUAAUUAGGCUUAAUAGAUUCGUCUCGCCGUUUAGAUUCCACUUAUGUAUGUUCAUGUGGGUCGCUGUUCCAUUCAGAACAAAUUGUGUCCAAAGUAGAAUUCCACUACAUACCGAUAAUCUUUUUUGUAUAACAUCGAUGAAAUUGCUGCAGAAAUAACAGUGCUUCAAUUAUGAUUCUUCCGGUCUCUCAUCAACUUCUAUUCUCAUCUAUAAUUUCCAUUGUCUGCCUGCUAAAUUGGCGAAUGAUUACAUACCUGAAUGCAUGUCCUUUCCCUAAGUGAUCGAAAAUACAGGUCACUACGUAGAAGCAGUGAUCAGUGCAUAUUAGAGGAACUUUGGAUCAAUGGAUGAGAACUACAAAGUGCACUCGGUGGGAUGUUGGUGUUCCAGAGCUGAGCUCUUUGGAUGGUUCAUCAGGACGGUUGGAUGUUCACCAAGCAGAAAGAUUGGAAGAGAUGGUGGAGAAUGCCUUGGCAAGUUGAUUAGGCCUUGCCAAAUGUACUCAAAACUCUGGUUGCCCAUACCUCUUGAUGGUUUCAGUUUUGUUCCAGUGUUCACUUGAUUCAUUCAAGAUAUCAAGUAAUGAUAUAAAGAUCCUAUUAAUUACCAACAGUGAUAAUGAUUUAAUUGACAUUUCAGGAAAGUUCAGCUUCGUGGCUCGCCAUGUCUGAUUUGAUCCAUUGGUUCCCUGCAUAUUUUCUUCUCUGAAUGAGCUCAAACGUGUCUCUGCAAAAUGCAAAGUUUUUUUUUUCUGAAGCAGUAGUGUCAGACUGCAGCAUUUCAGUCCAGUUUGGCGUAGCAAAUUACAGAAGGUAUGUGGAAAAGGGAAGGUAAAAUAUGAAACGUCUAUUCUGGAGAAUUAUCAUUAUCGUCAUCAGCUAGGUGAUUUUUUUUCUUCAAAUCAUAGCUCAAUCUCAUAUUUGGAUAGCUGCAUAGAUCAGACCAUUAUCCCUGUUAGAUGUAUUUGGUAUUUUACCUUUUUCUAUUAGGGGGUUUUGUGUAUAUUUCCCCCUCCUUGUACAUGUAUAUAUAUGGGCCUAGUGCCCCUGUUAUGAAUACAAGUGCUAUUCCUAACAUGGUACAAAGUCAAACUAGGGUUAGGUUUCUUCUCAAUCUGCCCUAGGGUUUUUUUUCCAACGCACGUUGUACUUGCGUGCUCUUCUCACCCGCCAGAUCUGUCGCUUCUCCACUCGCCGCCUCUGCUGCUCGUCCCUCGUCUCUGGUCUGGAAACCGCCGGAUCCGCCACUCGUCUCCCCGGUGCCGCGCUUGGGACUCGUCGCCUGCCUGCGCCACACCUACGGCCACCACUCGUCCGACUCUCCACCCGCCCGAUUUGCCGCCCGCUCGUCGUUGCCGCCCGCUUGUCGCUGCUGCCCCUAGCCCCGUCGCUUGCUCAUCAUCGCUGCCAGCCCCUGCUGCCUGCUCGCCGCCGCUGGCCGCUCGUCGCCGCCGCCGGCCGCCAAUCCCUAACAAUCCCUACAUUGUUUCUUCAGAGAAAGCAACAAAAUCCUAUAAUCUGAAGUAUUAUAUUAGUUUGCAUCUUGGUGUUAUCCUUCUCAAGGAAACUAUGAAAUCCUAUAAUCUGAAGCAUUAUUUCACUUUGCAUCCAUGGCCUUAUCCUUCCCAAGUUAACUUCAAAUCUUAUACUAUGAAAUACUUUCCAUCUGCAUCUUGGUCUUAAUACUUCUAAAAGUAGCCCAGUACUAUAGAGCUUGUCUUCCUCUUACGUAGUCUGAACUCUGAAAUUUUCAGUUAUUGUGCUUCUCACUUAAUUAACUUAUUAAGUAUGAGGAGUACGAGAGUAAUUUGGUAGAAUAGGGUAAGCUCUCAUUACAAUAGAAUACGGGUAAUGAUAUCUCUAGCUCUGAAGAAAAUGAAAAGACUGAAACUCUCAUUCCACAUGCCUUUUUUUUCAAGCUGCUAUAUAUUGCGUACCAUCAUGCUAGCAGUUCUAUGAGAACAAGAUAUAGAUGUAGGUAGCUUGUAUAUAUCUUGUCUAAAUAAAUUGGUAUUUGUCUCUGAACUUUGUAUGUGCAGUAUAAAAUCUUGCAGACAAUUGGUUUGAUAUGAUUGUACAAGAUCACCAUGUACAGGAAUCUACAUUUACAAACAAAGUUAUCUGAGAUGGUUCCUUCCAUUGUAAAUACUAUUGUCGUAUCGUUCUCUUCUUUUGUGGUUCUUUUGAAUUAUGGCUUUGUGAUAGUAACACAUAGUGCUACAUCCGACAAUAGCCCCUCUCCGAGGUUCACUACUACCUGCAUUUUCGGUAGAAGUGUAAAAGCAUUACAUGGAGGAUUGAUGUUUUUUUUUCA
Setaria italica (foxtail millet) is the source of this 2378-nucleotide RNA transcript. RefSeq lists it as uncharacterized. The record is from RefSeq and is a predicted model, not a curated record. The transcript has 4 exons. NCBI's taxonomy places the organism in Eukaryota, Viridiplantae, Streptophyta, Magnoliopsida, Poales, Poaceae.